GAGUUUGAUCCUGGCUCAGAUUGAACGCUGGCGGCAUGCUUUACACAUGCAAGUCGAACGGCAGCACGGGAGCUUGCUCCUGGUGGCGAGUGGCGAACGGGUGAGUAAUGCAUCGGAACGUAUCCUGGAGUGGGGGAUAACGUAGCGAAAGUUACGCUAAUACCGCAUAUUCUGUGAGCAGGAAAGCGGGGGACCUUCGGGCCUCGCGCUCUUGGAGCGGCCGAUGUCGGAUUAGCUAGUUGGUGAGGUAAAGGCUCACCAAGGCGACGAUCCGUAGCAGGUCUGAGAGGAUGAUCUGCCACACUGGAACUGAGACACGGUCCAGACUCCUACGGGAGGCAGCAGUGGGGAAUUUUGGACAAUGGGGGCAACCCUGAUCCAGCCAUGCCGCGUGAGUGAAGAAGGCC
This 407-nucleotide ribosomal RNA is filed under the name bacterium enrichment culture clone ALO1_GLFRUDD03HDYK2. Its description in RNAcentral is "bacterial SSU rRNA". It matches the Rfam family "Bacterial small subunit ribosomal RNA", at positions 9 to 416 of the family's 1533-position model. The record is from RNAcentral.